AUUGAACGCUGGCGGAAUGCUUUACACAUGCAAGUCGAACGGCAGCACGGGGCAACCUGGUGGCGAGUGGCGAACGGGUGAGUAAUACAUCGGAACGUGCCCAAUCGUGGGGGAUAACGUAGCGAAAGUUACGCUAAUACUGCAUACGAUCUACGGAUGAAAGCGGGGGAUCGCAAGACCUCGCGCGAAUGGAGCGGCCGAUAUCGGAUUAGCUUGUUGGUGAGGUAAAGGCUCACCAAGGCGACGAUCUGUAGCGGGUCUGAGAGGAUGAUCCGCCACACUGGAACUGAGACACGGUCCAGACUCCUACGGGAGGCAGCAGUGGGGAAUUUUGGACAAUGGGCGCAAGCCUGAUCCAGCCAUGCCGCGUGAGUGAAGAAGGCCUUC
Molecule: ribosomal RNA, 387 nt
Filed under: uncultured bacterium
Lineage: Bacteria
Description: bacterial SSU rRNA
Rfam family: Bacterial small subunit ribosomal RNA
Source: RNAcentral